This 874-nucleotide long non-coding RNA is filed under the name Struthio camelus australis. RNAcentral's name for it is "lncRNA (ENSSCUG00000015993.1)". Lineage: Eukaryota; Metazoa; Chordata; Aves; Struthioniformes; Struthionidae. The record is from RNAcentral.
UGAACUGGAAAGUGUUACAGGUGGACUGCAAAGCUCUACUGAAUAUUGAGUUAAUCCAAGAUUUACAUGCCAUAAGCCUCCAGAAAUUGGGCUAUGAUGGGCUUUAGCUAAAGUAGUGUUAGCUAACCUUUUAAGAAAGCCCAUUUUUCCUUCCUGUGCAGUCUUUUUCCUGGGCCUUGUUUUCCUGAAGGGACACAUCCUCAGCUGGCAUAACAGCUUAAUCCCACUGAAGCCGGUGGAGUAGUUACGAGACGUGUUGGCUGAGGAUCUGACCCAAAGAAAUCCCUCUUACCGGUGACGAAUUUUCCUCCACCAGGCAAAUCAAUGGACUAAACACUGCAAAUGGAAGAGUACAAACCAGGGUAUUGGCACGAAGGUCCUCCAUUCACCUCCUCCAUGGCAUUUAUUAUCAAGAGGCAGAAGCAGGAAGCUAUUGAAAACUAAAUGUGAAACAAUGGCCAGCUAUAUUAGGGAUUGAAGCUUACUAUAUUUGACAAAAAGUGCCUUUUCAUGUUUUAAGUAUCAAGUAACACAUGCUUCCUGCCAAAGCAUUACAGAAAGUCCAAGCAAACCACUGCCUAUGCACCUGGAACCAAAGUUUGAUCUGAUGACUCGUUCAUUGAAAGUUGAGAAACUGAAUAAGGUUCAGAAAAAGCAGACACGCUUGUUUUCCUCCUCCAGUCUGUGAAGAAAAUGAGGACAAGAUGACAAGAUCCAGCAGAUCUAAAAUGUUGGGGAAUAUAGUGUCCUGGAAUAACCUGUUUAACCCAUUAGGCACUGCUACAGUUUUCUGGAUUUAAUACUACUUUCUCUUCUGUUUUGAAAAUAGGGUGGCUUAUUUAAGUAAUAAAAUAAUUAACAGUUUAAUAAAACA